This 492-nucleotide ribosomal RNA is filed under the name uncultured bacterium. Its description in RNAcentral is "partial 16S ribosomal RNA". It matches the Rfam family "Bacterial small subunit ribosomal RNA", at positions 29 to 507 of the family's 1533-position model. The record is from RNAcentral.
AGUGAACGCUGGCGGUAGGCCUAACACAUGCAAGUCGAACGGCAGCACAGUAAGAGCUUGCUCUUACGGGUGGCGAGUGGCGGACGGGUGAGGAAUACAUCGGAAUCUACUUUUUCGUGGGGGAUAACGUAGGGAAACUUACGCUAAUACCGCAUACGACCUACGGGGGAAAGCAGGGGAUCUUCGGACCUUGCGCGAUUGAAUGAGCCGAUGUCGGAUUAGCUAGUUGGCGGGGUAAAGGCCCACCAAGGCGACGAUCCGUAGCUGGUCUGAGAGGAUGAUCAGCCACACUGGAACUGAGACACGGUCCAGACUCCUACGGGAGGCAGCAGUGGGGAAUAUUGGACAAUGGGCGCAAGCCUGAUCCAGCCAUACCGCGUGGGUGAAGAAGGCCUUCGGGUUGUAAAGCCCUUUUGUUGGGAAAGAAAAGCAGCAGGUUAAUACCCCGCUGUCCUGACGGUACCCAAGGAAUAAGCACCGGCUAACUUCGUG